GAUGAACGCUGGCGGCGUGCCUAAUACAUGCAAGUCGAGCGAACGGACGAGAAGCUUGCUUCUCUGAUGUUAGCGGCGGACGGGUGAGUAACACGUGGAUAACCUACCUAUAAGACUGGGAUAACUUCGGGAAACCGGAGCUAAUACCGGAUAAUAUUUUGAACCGCAUGGUUCAAAAGUGAAAGACGGUCUUGCUGUCACUUAUAGAUGGAUCCGCGCUGCAUUAGCUAGUUGGUAAGGUAACGGCUUACCAAGGCAACGGUGCAUAGCCGACCUGAGAGGGUGAUCAGCCACACUGGAACUGAGACACGGUCCAGACUCCUACGGGAGGCAGCAGUAGGGAAUCUUCCGCAAUGGGCGAAAGCCUGACGGAGCAACGCCGCGUGAGUGAUGAAGGUCUUCGGAUCGUAAAACUCUGUUAUUAGGGAAGAACAUAUGUGUAAGUAACUGUGCACAUCUUGACGGUACCUAAUGAGAAAGCCACGGCUAACUACGUG
RNAcentral lists this ribosomal RNA (497 nucleotides) under uncultured bacterium. RNAcentral's name for it is "partial 16S ribosomal RNA". It matches the Rfam family "Bacterial small subunit ribosomal RNA", at positions 28 to 507 of the family's 1533-position model. The record is from RNAcentral.